UCGAGUUCGGGUGCGCCUUCAAACCGCCGCCCAACCUCCCAACCCAGUGUCUAACAUACCUCACGUUGCUUCGGUGGACCGGACCUGACCAACUGGUCUCGACCGCCGGCCUUAGGGCUGGAGAGCUGCCCACCGACGGCCUUCUCACAUUCUUUGUACCAAAACCUGUCGUCUAAAUCUUGUGAUUUUUAAAUCAAAACA
RNAcentral lists this unclassified non-coding RNA (201 nucleotides) under uncultured Chaetothyriales. RNAcentral describes it as "sequence contains ITS1". The record is from RNAcentral. Lineage: Eukaryota; Fungi; Ascomycota; Eurotiomycetes; Chaetothyriales.